GAGGGUAUAUCUCAGUGGUGGAGUGUCUGCUUAGCAUGCACAAGGUCCCGGGUUCAAUCCCUGGUACCUCCA
Molecule: transfer RNA, 72 nt
Organism: Camelus ferus (Wild Bactrian camel)
Lineage: Eukaryota; Metazoa; Chordata; Mammalia; Artiodactyla; Camelidae
Rfam family: tRNA
About the family: Transfer RNA (tRNA) molecules are approximately 80 nucleotides in length. Their secondary structure includes four short double-helical elements and three loops (D, anti-codon, and T loops). Further hydrogen bonds mediate the characteristic L-shaped molecular structure. tRNAs have two regions of fundamental functional importance: the anti-codon, which is responsible for specific mRNA codon recognition, and the 3' end, to which the tRNAs corresponding amino acid is attached (by aminoacyl-tRNA synthetases). tRNAs cope with the degeneracy of the genetic code in two manners: having more than one tRNA (with a specific anti-codon) for a particular amino acid; and 'wobble' base-pairing, i.e. permitting non-standard base-pairing at the 3rd anti-codon position.
Source: Rfam